Musca domestica (house fly) is the source of this 15625-nucleotide long non-coding RNA. RefSeq lists it as uncharacterized. Lineage: Eukaryota; Metazoa; Arthropoda; Insecta; Diptera; Muscidae. The record is from RefSeq and is a predicted model, not a curated record. The transcript is spliced from 8 exons.
CAUGCGAUAUAGAUGUUUUCAAUGGCGAAUUCCUUUCCUGGCCUAAAUUUACGUAUCUGUUUUCUGCAGUAUACAUCAAUAACAGUCGUCUUAGUAACAUUGAAAAAUGGUGUUAUUUACUUAAGAAAACUAGUGGGGAAGCAAAAUACAUAAUUUCGAAGUUUCCGCUGAUACACAAAAGUUUCGCUUUAGCGUGACAGGCCUUAAAAGAAACAUAUGACUAUGUCCGAAUCUUAGUUAACAACCAAUUGAAAUUGCUCUUUGAUCUUCCAGUUCUCGAUAAUGAGUCCAGCGCUGGUUUAAAAAAUCUACAACGAGCAAUUAAUGGAUGUAUUUCGGCUAUGGCGAUCUAUGAUGUUUCUACGAACGACUGGGAUCCCAUAUUCAUAUGCAUUCAAAGAUUGCCUAAGCAUGUGGCCUCGCUUUGGGAACAGACGGUCAAAGACAAGUCGGCUUUGUCUGAUUGGAAGUAUUUGGAUCGUUUUCUUACGGAAAGGAUCCAGACCCUUACUUAUCUCCGAGACAUUCGUGGUAUUGAGUCAUCAAAAAAGGUUGAGAAAAAAGUGCGGACUCACUUAACAAAGUCCGCAUCUUCUGGGUCUUCUAGUGCUUCUUAAUUUAAAUCUUGCGUUCUCUGUCCUAAAUUGGUCCACCCAUUGCGUUUUUGUCCAGAGUUCAAAAAAUUAUCCAUAGAAGGUCGUUUUUCAGUGCUCAAACGCUUCAAUUGUUGUCUGAACUGUCUGACGGUUGGUCAUGAAGUUAAAAAAUGUAUUAGUAAACACAAUUGUGGAAAAUGCAAUAAGCGACAUCACACACUUUUACAUCGUGAGAUGUCAAAUCACGCAAAUUCUACACCAGCAGCGACUCCGUCGCUAUCAACUUCGAACCAAUCCAACAAUGCGAAUCAAAAUAUUCCCUCGAAUUCGUUAGGUAUAUCCCACUCUGUCAAUAGGCAAGUGUAUCAUAUUUCGCAAAACAAAAAUGUUGUUUUGGAUACUGCAAUGGUGAAUCUAAUUCACCAAGGCAUCACAUACCCUGCUCGUGCCCUAAUCGACCCAGCUUCUGAAGCGUCUUUCAUCACUGAAAAUUAGCAACAUCGUCUUGGUAUUUCUACUAAGUCGACCCAAGCUACGAUUUCUGGCAUUAAUCAAAGUAUUUCCACUACAUCCAGGAAAUUGUGCUCAUUAUGCAUAGAUUCUCCUAUCGAUUCAUCAAUUUUCUUUGAAAUCCCAGCUCUAAUGGUUCCCGCUAUUUCUGGUAAUUUACCCUCUAUUUCAAUAGGUGGUGACAUAAUUUCCCGUUUGCCAAAUAUUCGUUUUGCAGAUAGAAACUCCUGCGAUUCUAGACCAGUUGACCUUCUACUAGGCGCUGAUUUAUAUCCUAGAAUCCUUUUACAGGGAAUUAAAUCAAACAUCUUAGGUUCUUUAAUGGCCAAAGAACUGUUUUCGGCUGGAUCAUUACUGGUCCCAUUCCCAAUUCUACCAUUACGGUUUUAACAACCACAAUUAACUUUCCGGAAGAAGAUCUUAACAAGACUCUUCUUCGAUUUUGGGAAUUGGAAGAACCUCUAAACGCGCUAUUUUGUCUCCUUCGGACAAAUUCUGUGAGAUAAAUUUCCAAAAAAAACUCGACGAGACUCAAAAGGCAGAUAUAUUGUCACAAUUCCCAUAAUUCCUGAAUUCGCAGGCCAACCGGUCAUUCUAGGACCAAUUGCUUGCGACAAUUCUUUCGAGUGAGGCUUUACUCCUAAAAAAACCGCAAAUUAAAACCAUUUGCGAUGGGGUGGUCCGGGAAUAUUUUGAAUUAGACCACGUGAGACUGGUUUGGACUUCGUCAGCAAGCUCUACAGUUUGCUAUCUUCCUCACCAUCCGACUAUUGAUCCGGAUAAACAAACAACAAAAAUGGGAGUGAUUUUAAAUACCUCGAACAAGACUUCCAACGGGAAUAGUCUUAAAGAUAUUCUCUAUGUCGGACCAACUUUUCAGUUGGACCUAGUCCUUCUUAUUCUAAGGUGGAAACUUUUCCAAUUUGUAUUCAAUUGCGACAUAACGCAAAUGUACAGCAGAUUCGGGUCGAUCCUGCUCAUAUUCCUCUCCAACGAAUUUUAUUUCGGGAUUCUCCCAACAAACCAGUUCAAGACUUUAAACUUCAAACGGUAACCUUCGGAGUAAACUGUGCUCCUUAUCUUGCGAUUCGGACUUUACUUCAAUUGGCCGAUGAUACAGAAAAUGAAUUUCCGCUAGCUGCACAUAUCCUUCGGAAGUGCAUGUACGUAGAUGACGUCUUGGCCGGUUAUCACGACAGCGCAAAAAUCAAUAGACCAACUCAUUGGUGCUCUUUCUUCCGCGAAGUUUGAAAUUUUAGAUUGUCUUCCUUUAGAUCACCUAUAUGAUGUUAAGCUUCUCACUUCCGUGGAAGCUAGUAGUUCAAGACCGCUGGGCAUUCGCUGGAAUGCAGUUGGACCAUUUCUAUUUCAGUGUAAACCCGCUGGAACACCGGUUCACAUAUACUAAACGGGAAGUUUUGUCAACCACCGCCAUGCUUCUCGAUCCAGUAGGAUGGUUGUAGCAAAAAUCAUCAUGCAGCGUAUUUGGCUAGACAACAUCGGUUGGGACGAUUCGCUUCCGUCUUCGACAGAACGUGAAUGGGAAAAAUUUUCCUAUCAAGGUGUUAAUUCCAUAUCCAUUCCUCGUUGGGUCCAAUAUUCACCUCUUUGUCAUGUCGAACUUCAUGUCUUUUCCGAUGCCUUGAAAAAGGCAUACACGGGGGUAGCGUACAUUCGUGUCGUUGCUUCAAAUAGGAAAAUUUAGAUGUUGUAAAAUUACAAAGGGGUAUGUCUGUGUCUUCGUGUGCUUUUCUACGAAAGCAAUACAUUUAGAGCUAGCCUCGGAUUUAUCUACCACUACCUUCCUGGCUGCAUUUAAUAUAUUUAUAUCUCGUCGUGGAUGUCCAAAGACUAUCUUCUCGGGAAUUUAAUUUCAUUAAAUGAAAUUCGUGAUAAACUCCGAUCAAAGUUUUCUUAUCAAGAGCUCCGAUCAAAGUUUUCUUAUCAAGAGCAGCUGGAGCUCCACAUACGGGUGGACUUUGGGAAGCUGCGGUUAGAAGCUUUAAAACUCAUUUUAGGAAAAUGGCUAAAAAAUUGAAAUAUACGUUUGAAGAAUUUUCUACGUUGCUAACAAGAAUUGAGGCAUGCUUAAAUUCUCGCCCACUCUGUCCCAUGACUGAUAGUCUUGAAAUUAGGUCGCGUUGUCCAAGUUUAUCCGGUCGCUUCGCUGAUAUAAAAACGGAAAACGGUAUCGUAAGACGGUCAUUUUGACCGACGAAGAUUAAAAUGUUCAUCUCUCUACCAUGCCAUCUCCACUUUUUUUCUCAGAUGGAAAAUUUGAGUCAGAUGGCCGCUUCCCUUCCUUACUACGAUGAGGACAUCCCAAUGUCGGAUGAAGAGAGAGGUGUUGAGGAUGCCAUUAUUCCUUUGGGCUUCCAGGACUCCGAUAUACGCGGGGUCAGCAAUGCUGCGGCUCCUCUUCAGGAACCUGCAACGGCACUACCAGCCAACUCACCCGGCUCUACGGCCGAUCAAACAGGCUCCGCUUCUCCUCUACGGGAAAAUUGCACUGCAGAUUCUGCGCCAAAUAAGGGAUUUUCGUCCGAACCGGCAGGAGUUACCCCUCAGGUGCUCCUAGCCUCAACCAGUUGCCUUUCGACAACAGGCGCUGACACUGCUGCUCCCCUACGGGAGAUUGCACCAGCGAGGUCUGCAUCUCCUCAAGACUCUGCCUGGAUCGUUGGCACGGCGUCUCCUCUACGGGAGCUUGCACCCGUCGUCCACGAACUUUCAACGACAGAUGUGGCUACCACAUCUCCUCUACGGGAGACUAAAACUUCCGCCGAAACUCCUCAAUUCAAAGGCACAGUGGCCAGAUCCAUUCGACAAGAGGGACCUAAUGUGUUUUAUGCACACAGAGGCGCGUCCUUCGGGAAUGUUCCGAGUUUCUAAAAUUGACCUGCGAAAAAAGGAUACAAUUUGUGGUACCGGAGAAUUUCUGCACCAAUUGUUUAGGCAGGUCACAUACCCUCCGAAAAUCUUUGCGACCACCAUACACUUCUUCACCUCGGCAAAAAGCCCCUGUCCUGUAAAAUUUUUAGCGUGCUGUAAUUCGAGUUUUUUUUUUAUUAUUUUGACUUCUUAUUUGACCACUAAAGAACUAGGAAUGUAGCAACGUUUUUGGAAACAUUCUAUCUCAUUCUAGAGUGAAAUAAAAUCAAUGCAUAUACAUUAAUUUUGAUAAGUGGUUGCCUAUGUUGUAAAGUGUUGUUUAAUUUUCCCUCACUGAAAAUCCUCCAGGCGCAAGCAGAAUCUUCAUCACCUUCAUUUACCGUUCGACCAUUUAUUGCUCGAAUGAUAACUUGACAUAUUUUCCCAUAUUGACUUAACCUUUGACUGGUGAGGUGACAUAUUUUGUAACGUGGACUAAAUUUUACAAAAAAAAACUGAGAGCUGAGGGAACCUUAGAAACCUCUCUCAACUCUAACGACGUAAAACAAUACUCGUGAAAGUAAAGGGAACUUUAUAAACACCUCUUUACUUACAGAGAACACACAACCUCCACAGAUGUUAGAGUUAAGGUAACGUUAAAAACCCCACUCAAUUCGAUCGCUUACACAAUACUCUUAGAAAUAAAGGGAACAAGGGAAACCCCUCUUUACUUACGAGAAAACACAAACACUUCACGAAUGUUAGAAUUAGGGGAACGUUACAAACCCCACUUAACUCUAACUACAAACAGCCUAUUCCACGAUAUGGAAAGAACAUUUCCGUUCCACAAAAAUGCAUCAGAACGAAAAAUUGUACGAAAAUCAAACCGAACGAAAACGUAAGCAUUUUAGUGGAAUUUUGUGUCCACUAUCUUUUUACUUUCGCAUGCACGCGAAUGCAAAUGUCAAAAUCAGCCACUUGCUUGUUUGCUGUCGUAUGAUUACAAUUCAGGAUUUUUUUUCAACAUAAAUAUUGCUUGAUUGAAAAUGGAAACAAAAAGUCCCGAAAUAUCAUCUACAGUACAGCUGCGGGCACUAGUUGAAUAUAUGGAGGAGAAUCCUGAGAUCGUCAGAGUAGUGCCAACUUUUGGAAGCAACAAGCAAUCCCUUGAAGACCACUGGAAAAAAUUAUGUUUCAAAUUAAAUACCAUGGGUUAUCCUCGUCGCACAAUUGCAGAGUGGAAAAAGAUCUAUUAUGACUCAUGCUUUUGUUCCAGCGGAAGACAGGAUAAAAUUGGGUAUAACGGACUCUUUGAUUCGCUUGUCAGUUGGUUUGGAAGAAGUUGAAGAUCUAAUUGAAGAUCUUAGCAAUGCAUUGAACGCUGCUGAAAAGGCAUAAAUCUCUUUCAAAAUGAAGAACAUGUAAAAAUAUUGUAUGGAAAUUUACUCGAAAGUCGUAAAAAUAAAUUUUAUACAUAUCUUGGUUUCUUUAUUUCAUUGUUUUCACUUGGUCGUUUUUAAGCCCCAUUUAAAUGUAUGUACGCUUGUUCGAAUCAGUGACAUAGCUCGCAGCAGAAUUUAAUUAAGAAAAAGGCUGUAAAAUUUUUAACGUGCUGUAAUUCGAGUUUUCCGGCACACGUUUGUCUGAAUUUGUAUUAUUUUGACUUCUUAUUUGACCACUAAAGGAUCUAGGCAUGUAGCAACGUUUUUGGAAGUUUUCUAUCUCAUUCUACAGCGAAAUAAAAUCAAUGUAUAUACAUUAUUUUUGAUACGUGGUUGCCUAUGUUGUAAAGUUUUGUCGAAUUUUCCCUCAGGAAACCACCAGAGAUCAUUGCUACUCCGUUUUGGAAUACACCAGCUUGUUAAAUGCGAAGGUAUGGAAUUUGGUUUACUGAGAGAUGGAUUUCCUUUCAUUUUCGUCAAUCUUUGGUUUGUUAUGCAUCUCGGAAAUGGACGAUACCGAUUUUUGAGAAAAGAAUCAAGGGUUCCCUUUUUGGAAUAGCUGUUUUGUCAGUUAAACCUUGCUCCCAUAGCGUCAGCAUUGAGUUUGGAAGACGAUUGCAUCCAAAGAAUACAAAUAUUAUGUGUUUCACUUUUAGCGUUAAAUGGAACAAGGCCCAACUGGAGUGACUAUGGAAUUUUUGAUAUAUAAGGUCGUAAAUAUGUCUCGGAAUGUUAGCAUGUAAAAUCAGUUAAAGACUACGAUGCCGCAUAUAACUUGAGCUAUGUUUAGGACAGGAAAGACUUAGCUUCUUUGGAAGCCAUAUUGACUAAACCUUUGACCUUUGUCACGUGUACGAAAUUGUACAAAAAAACUGUUAACAUUUUUUUAUAAUUAUUUGUAGUAUAUUUUAAAUUACAAUAAGCAAAAAUCAGAUUAGAAUAGAAGAGAGAAUUACAAAAAAAUGUGAAGGGAGGGUAAAAUUUACCACCACCGUUGUUAGGAGACGUUAGAGGAAUAUUGCCAUCGCUUACACCAGCAUUAAAUACUACUAGGUGAUUAGCCUUAUGACUGAAGGAAUCUAACGACAUAAUUUUUAAGGAAUCAUAAGGAAUAGUGAAACAGCAAAGGGUUUCUACGCAUUUCUUUGUUAAGGAAAUGAAUCGAGUUAAUAUCGAAUAUACUUUUUUUAAAUUCGAAAACAUGAAAAUAUCGGUGAGAUUCUAAAAAAAACUGAAAAUAUAUAAUUAUUUCCUCAAAAAGGAGACGAAAUUUUGGGAAAAUACCAAGAAAAAUGUACUUUUGGCAAUAUUUUCUCCUACAUGAACACAUUAUUUGACCUUAGUAAUUUUUUUUUCAUUUAUAGACUUCCAAUUUUAUGCAUGAACUACGGAAAUUUUCGGAAACCGUUGCUCAAAAAGAAAAAUUGUGUACAUGUAAUUUGAUGAUGUUUGAUUUCGUAUUAUUAUUUAUUUAGACUCUUUUUUUACUCGUUUGGUUGCUGUUCAUAACCGGUUCCAGUUUGUCUAUCAACAUGCGACGACGAGUUUUCUCAAAUUCGGGGAUAUUUUCUUUUAUAGUACGAUAUACUUGAUUUGAUCAUUUAUACAGUUUACAUUAUUCUAUUUGCAUCACUUGGUGAAUUGUAAAAAACAAAAACACAAAUAAAUGGUGAAUCGCAUUGCCACAAUAUGAUGGUUGGGAAUGAAAUGUAGGCGGCGCUGAUCGAUCAAUGGCAAUGACAUUGUCAGCGUUUACAAUACAGGGCGCUUCCUAUGUACUCUUCCAAAAUACGCGCGACAUGUUAUGGUGGAGGGAACGUUAGAAACCCCACUCUACUUCAACACCGUGACACAAUACACUAUAUAAUAAAGGGAACGUUGGAAACCAAACUCCUCUUCUUUGUGGUCUUGACUCACGAAUCUUGCUCAUCGUUUCCAAGGUCUUGUACUUUUCCCGUCAGAUCGAGCUGAAAUUUCGUAAGAUAUGUAAUAAGGUCUCUUUGUCUCAAUACUCGCAACAUUUUUUUUUAUUUUUAAUCUUCGCUUUUCUGUUUUUUAAUCACUAAAUAGAUUUAGUUGAAGGGUUUCCACUUUUGCACACUUUGAUUGUUUUUAGAUUAUACACUUUUUCUCUCCAUUUAUAUCGCAUUGGCACAUUAUGAUGGUUGAUGAUGACAUUAGGCGGCGCUGAACGAUCGUUGGCUAUGACAUUGACAGCGUUUACGAUACAGGGCGCCAUCUAUAAACGCUUCCAAAAUACACUUGACACGUUAUGGUGGAGUGAACAUUAGAAAGCCCACUCCACGUCAACACUGUGACACAAUACUCUGUAUAGGAAAGCACGUUGGAAACAACACGUUACUUACUUAAUAACAACAAACUUAACAUAUUUAAGAGCUGAGGGAACCUUAGAAACCUUUCUCAACUCUAACGACGUAAAACAAUACUCGUGAAAGUAAAGGAAACUUUAUAAACACCUCUUUACUUACAAGAGAACACACAACCUCCACAGAUGUUAGAGUUAAGGGAACGUUAAAAACCCCACACAAUUCGAUCGCUUACACAAUACUCUUAGAAAUAAAGGGAACGAGGGAAACCCCUCUUUACUUACGAGAAAACACAAACACUUCACGAAUGUUAGAAUUAGGGGAACGUUACAAACCCCACUUAACUCUAACUACAAACAGCCUAUUCCACGAUAUGGAAAGAACAUUUCCGUUCCACAAAAAUGCAUCAGAACGAAAAAUUGUACGAAAAUCAAACCGAACGAAAACGUAAGCAUUUUAGUGCAAUUUUGUGUCCACUAUAUUUUUACGCAUGCACGCGAAUGCAAAUGUCAAAAUCAGCCACUUGUGUGUUUGCUGUCGUAUGAUUACAAUUCAGGAUUUUCUUUCAACAUAAAUAUUGCUUGAUUGAAAAUGGAAACAAAAAGCACGAAAAUAUCAUCAACUGUACAGCUGCGGGCACUAGUUGAAUAUAUGUAGGAGAAUCCUGCUAUCGCCAGAGGAGUGCCAACUUUUGGAAGCAACAAGCAAUCCCUUGAAGACCACUGAAAAAAUUUAUGUUUCAAAUUAUAUACCAUGAGUUCUCCUCCUCGCACAAUUGAAGAGUGGAAAAAGUUCCGCACAAAAAAGAAAAUACCUGAACACAAAAAAGGGUUGCAAGGAUAAGGUGGCGGUUUAUACCAAUUUGAGUGUUUGACGGAGCUAGAAACAAAAUUGACCGGACACUUUUUUUAUCGAAGUCAGCGGCACCAAGCGGUAAGACUUUUGGCUAUGCAGACGACAUCGACUACUGCUUUGUGGCAUUGGUUACAACACCAUCAGGACGUUCCAAGACCGUAGCAGUUAAGUGAAUAAAGUUUUCACCAUUUAUCGCCAGAAACACAUGUCCAACAACAGUAACAAAUAAACGUACAAACCUGCACCAUCACAACUAAACAAUACCAAUCAUAGUUAAUAGAUGAAACAAAUUUUUAAUUAUACAUUUUUAUUUUAAUAAAAAAUCAGUAAAUUUUACAAAUUUAUUGCAAUUUUUAUUUAUUCGAAGCAUCUUUUAAAUGCUUCCAUGGUACAUUUUGAACCUCCUUCACAUCAUCCAUAAAGUAUAGUGCUACAGAAAUAUUCAUUUUUUAAGAACACAAAUAAUUCAAGCACUAUCACCGCGAAUAUUAUUUUGUUUGUUUAUUUACAAUUUGUUUGUUUACAACCGAACUGUCAGUUCUCCUAUUCUGAACGGCAUCCUAUUCUCUUACCUUAUCAUAGAUUAGAUCAUAUAGAUUCCCUCCAUGGAUGAAACCAAUUAAUGUUUCGUAUGCUUCGCAUGGAAUACUGGAUUCCUCGCGCUACUUCACUGAUUAGGUCAACCAUAAGACAUUGCAAAUUGUGUGUUUUAGCAAAGAAACGUACUUGUACCCAAAUUAUGGCAUCUAUGCCUCCAGAAAGAACGGUUUUGUUUAGGCCUUUCACCUCUACAGGUAUCGAUUUCGCUGGCCCAUUCGACAUUAAAAUCCUUUACAGGUAGAUGUUGUAAAAUUACAAAGGGGUAUGUCUGUGUCUUCGUGUGCUUUUCUACGAAAGCAAUACAUUUAGAGCUAGCCUCGGAUUUAUCUACCACUACCUUCCUGGCUGCAUUUAAUAUAUUUAUAUCUCGUCGUGGAUGUCCAAAGACUAUCUUCUCGGGAAUUUAAUUUCAUUAAAUGAAAUUCGUGAUAAACUCCGAUCAAAGUUUUCUUAUCAAGAGCUUUCAUGGAGAUUUAACCCAGCUGGAGCUCCACAUACGGGUGGACUUUGGGAAGCUGCGGUUAGAAGCUUUAAAACUCAUUUUAGGAAAAUGGCUAAAAAAUUGAAAUAUACGUUUGAAGAAUUUUCUACGUUGCUAACAAGAAUUGAGGCAUGCUUAAAUUGUCGCCCACUCUGUCCCAUGACUGAUAGUCUUGAAAUUAGGUCGCGUUGUCCAAGUUUAUCCGGUCGCUUCGCUGAUAUAAAAACGGAAAACGGUAUCGUAAGACGGUCAUUUUGACCGACGAAGAUUAAAAUGUUUAUCUCUCUACCAUGCCAUCUCCACUUUUUUUCUCAGAUGGAAAAUUUGAGUCAGAUGGCCGCUUCCCUUCCUUACUACGAUGAGGACAUCCCAAUGUCGGAUGAAGAGAGAGGUGUUGAGGAUGCCAUUAUUCCUUUGGGCUUCCAGGACUACGAUAUACGCGGGGUCAGCAAUGCUGCGGCUCCUCUUCAGGAACCUGCAACGGCACUACCAGCCAACUCACCCGGCUCUACGGCCGAUCAAACAGGCUCCGCUUCUCCUCUACGGGAAAAUUGCACUGCAAAUUCUGCGCCAAAUAAGGGAUUUUCGUCCGAACCGGCAGGAGUUACCCCUCAGGUGCUCCUAGCCUCAACCAGUUGCCUUUGCUCCCCUACGGGAGAUUGCACCAGCGAGGUCUGCAUUUCCUCAAGACUCUGCCUGGACCGUUGGCACGGCGUCUCCUCUACGGGAGCUUGCACCCGUCGUCCUCGAACUUUCAACGACAGAUGUGGCUACCACAUCUCCUCUACGGGAGACUAAAACUUCCGCCGAAACUCCUCAAUUCAAAGGCACAGUGGCCAGAUCCAUUCGACAAGAGGGACCUAAUGUGUUUUAUGCACACAGAGGCGCGUCCUUCGGGAAUGUUCCGAGUUUCUAAAAUUGACCUGCGAAAAAAGGAUACAAUUUGUGGUACCGGAGAGUUUCUGCACCAAUUGUUUAGGCAGGUCACAUACCCUCCGAAAAUCUUUGCGACCACCAUACACUUCUUCACCUCGGCAAAAAGCCCCUGUCCUGUAAAAUUUUUAGCGUGCUGUAAUUCGAGUUUUUUUUAUUAUUUUGACUUCUUAUUUGACCACUAAAGAACUAGGAAUGUAGCAACGUUUUUGGAAACAUUCUAUCUCAUUCUAGAGUGAAAUAAAAUCAAUGCAUAUACAUUAAUUUUGAUAAGUGGUUGCCUAUGUUGUAAAGUGUUGUUUAAUUUUCCCUCACUGAAAAUCCUCCAGGCGCAAGCAGAAUCUUCAUCACCUUCAUUUACCGUUCGACCAUUUAUUGCUCGAAUGAUAACUUGACAUAUUUUCCCAUAUUGACUUAACCUUUGACUGGUGAGGUGACAUAUUUUGUAACGUGGACUAAAUUUUACAAAAAAAAACUGAGAGCUGAGGGAACCUUAGAAACCUCUCUCAACUCUAACGACGUAAAACAAUACUCGUGAAAGUAAAGGGAACUUUAUAAACACCUCUUUACUUACAGAGAACACACAACCUCCACAGAUGUUAGAGUUAAGGUAACGUUAAAAACCCCACUCAAUUCGAUCGCUUACACAAUACUCUUAGAAAUAAAGGGAACAAGGGAAACCCCUCUUUACUUACGAGAAAACACAAACACUUCACGAAUGUUAGAAUUAGGGGAACGUUACAAACCCCACUUAACUCUAACUACAAACAGCCUAUUCCACGAUAUGGAAAGAACAUUUCCGUUCCACAAAAAUGCAUCAGAACGAAAAAUUGUACGAAAAUCAAACCGAACGAAAACGUAAGCAUUUUAGUGGAAUUUUGUGUCCACUAUCUUUUUACUUUCGCAUGCACGCGAAUGCAAAUGUCAAAAUCAGCCACUUGCUUGUUUGCUGUCGUAUGAUUACAAUUCAGGAUUUUUUUUCAACAUAAAUAUUGCUUGAUUGAAAAUGGAAACAAAAAGUCCCGAAAUAUCAUCUACAGUACAGCUGCGGGCACUAGUUGAAUAUAUGGAGGAGAAUCCUGAGAUCGUCAGAGUAGUGCCAACUUUUGGAAGCAACAAGCAAUCCCUUGAAGACCACUGGAAAAAAUUAUGUUUCAAAUUAAAUACCAUGGGUUCUUCUCGUCGCACAAUUGCAGAGUGGAAAAAGAUCUAUUAUGACUCAUGCUUUUGUUCCAGCGGAAGACAGGAUAAAAUUGGGUAUAACGGACUCUUUGAUUCGCUUGUCAGUUGGUUUGGAAGAAGUUGAAGAUCUAAUUGAAGAUCUUAGCAAUGCAUUGAACGCUGCUGAAAAGGCAUAAAUCUCUUUCAAAAUGAAGAACAUGUAAAAAUAUUGUAUGGAAAUUUACUCGAAAGUCGUAAAAAUAAAUUUUAUACAUAUCUUGGUUUCUUUAUUUCAUUGUUUUCACUUGGUCGUUUUUAAGCCCCAUUUAAAUGUAUGUACGCUUGUUCGAAUCAGUGACAUAGCUCGCAGCAGAAUUUAAUUAAGAAAAAGGCUGUAAAAUUUUUAACGUGCUGUAAUUCGAGUUUUCCGGCACACGUUUGUCUGAAUUUGUAUUAUUUUGACUUCUUAUUUGACCACUAAAGGAUCUAGGCAUGUAGCAACGUUUUUGGAAGUUUUCUAUCUCAUUCUACAGCGAAAUAAAAUCAAUGUAUAUACAUUAUUUUUGAUACGUGGUUGCCUAUGUUGUAAAGUUUUGUCGAAUUUUCCCUCAGGAAACCACCAGAGAUCAUUGCUACUCCGUUUUGGAAUACACCAGCUUGUUAAAUGCGAAGGUAUGGAAUUUGGUUUACUGAGAGAUGGAUUUCCUUUCAUUUUCGUCAAUCUUUGGUUUGUUAUGCAUCUCGGAAAUGGACGAUACCGAUUUUUGAGAAAAGAAUCAAGGGUUCCCUUUUUGGAAUAGCUGUUUUGUCAGUUAAACCUUGCUCCCAUAGCGUCAGCAUUGAGUUUGGAAGACGAUUGCAUCCAAAGAAUACAAAUAUUAUGUGUUUCACUUUUAGCGUUAAAUGGAACAAGGCCCAACUGGAGUGACUAUGGAAUUUUUGAUAUAUAAGGUCGUAAAUAUGUCUCGGAAUGUUAGCAUGUAAAAUCAGUUAAAGACUACGAUGCCGCAUAUAACUUGAGCUAUGUUUAGGACAGGAAAGACUUAGCUUCUUUGGAAGCCAUAUUGACUAAACCUUUGACUGGUGAGGUGACAUAUUUUGUAACGUGUACUAAAUUGUACAAAAAAACUGUUAACAUUUUUUUAUAAUUAUUUGUAGUAUAUUUUAAAUUACAAUAAGCAAAAAUCAGAUUAGAAUAGAAGAGAGAAUUACAAAAAAAUGUGAAGGGAGGGUAAAAUUUACCACCACCGUUGUUAGGAGACGUUAGAGGAAUAUUGCCAUCGCUUACACCAGCAUUAAAUACUACUAGGUGAUUAGUCUUAUGACUGAAGGAAUCUAACGACAUAAUUUUUAAGGAAUCAUAAGGAAUAGUGAAACAGCAAAGGGUUUCUACGCAUUUCUUUGUUAAGGAAAUGAAUCGAGUUAAUAUCGAAUAUACUUUUUUUAAAUUCGAAAACAUGAAAAUAUCGGUGAGAUUCUAAAAAAACUGAAAAUAUAUAAUUAUUUCCUCAAAAAGGAGACGAAAUUUUGGGAAAAUACCAAGAAAAAUGUACUUUUGGCAAUAUUUUCUCCUACAUGAACACAUUAUUUGACCUCAGUAAAUUUUUUUUUCAUUUAUAGACUUCCAAUUUUAUGCAUGAACUACGGAAAUUUUCGGAAACCUUUGCUCAAAAAGAAAAAUUGUGUACAUGUAACUUGAUGAUGUUUGAUUUCGUAUUAUUAUUUAUUUAGACUCUUUUUUUACUCGUUUGGUUGCUGUUCAUAACCGGUUCCAGUUUGUCUAUCAACAUGCGACGACGAGUUUUCUCAAAUUCGGGGAUAUUUUCUUUUAUAGUACGAUAUACUUGAUUUGAUCAUUUAUACAGUUUACAUUAUUCUAUUUGCAUCACUUGGUGAAUUGUAAAAAACAAAAACACAAAUAAAUGGUGAAUCGCAUUGCCACAAUAUGAUGGUUGGGAAUGAAAUGUAGGCGGCGCUGAUCGAUCAAUGGCAAUGACAUUGUCAGCGUUUACAAUACAGGGCGCUUCCUAUGUACUCUUCCAAAAUACGCGCGACAUGUUAUGGUGGAGGGAACGUUAGAAACCCCACUCUACUUCAACACCGUGACACAAUACACUAUAUAAUAAAGGGAACGUUGGAAACCAAACUCCCCUUCUUUGUGGUCUUGACUCACGAAUCUUGCUCAUCGUUUCCAAGGUCUUGUACUUUUCCCGUCAGAUCGAGCUGAAAUUUCGUAAGAUAUGUAAUAAGGUCUUUUUGUCUCAAUACUCGCAACAUUUUUUUAUUUUUAAUCUUCGCUUUUCUGUUUUUUAAUCACUAAAUAGAUUUAGUUGAAGGGUUUCCACUUUUGCACACUUUGAUUGUUUUUAGAUUAUACACUUUUUCUCUCCAUUUAUAUCGCAUUGGCACAUUAUGAUGGUUGAUGAUGACAUUAGGCGGCGCUGAACGAUCGUUGGCUAUGACAUUGACAGCGUUUACGAUACAGGGCGCCAUCUAUAAACGCUUCCAAAAUACACUUGACACGUUAUGGUGGAGUGAACAUUAGAGAGCCCACUCCACGUCAACACUGUGACACAAUACUCUGUAUAGGAAAGCACGUUGGAAACAACACGUUACUUACUUAAUAACAACAAACUUAACAUAUUUAAGAGCUGAGGGAACCUUUGAAACCUUUCUCAACUCUAACGACGUAAAACAAUACUCGUGAAAGUAAAGGAAACUUUAUAAACACCUCUUUACUUACAAGAGAACACACAACCUCCACAGAUGUUAGAGUUAAGGGAACGUUAAAAACCCCACACAAUUCGAUCGCUUACACAAUACUCUUAGAAAUAAAGGGAACGAGGGAAACCCCUCUUUACUUACGAGAAAACACAAACACUUCACGAAUGUUAGAAUUAGGGGAACGUUACAAACCCCACUUAACUCUAACUACAAACAGCCUAUUCCACGAUAUGGAAAGAACAUUUCCGUUCCACAAAAAUGCAUCAGAACGAAAAAUUGUACGAAAAUCAAACCGAACGAAAACGUAAGCAUUUUAGUGCAAUUUUGUGUCCACUAUCUUUUUACGCAUGCACGCGAAUGCAAAUGUCAAAAUCAGCCACUUGUGUGUUUGCUGUCGUAUGAUUACAAUUCAGGAUUUUCUUUCAACAUAAAUAUUGCUUGAUUGAAAAUGGAAACAAAAAGCACGAAAAUAUCAUCAACUGUACAGCUGCGGGCACUAGUUGAAUAUAUGUAGGAGAAUCCUGCUAUCGCCAGAGGGGUGCCAACUUUUGGAAGCAACAAGCAAUCCCUUGAAGACCACUGAAAAAAAUUAUGUUUCAAAUUAUAUACCAUGGGUUCUCCUCCUCGCACAGUUGAAGAGUGGAAAAAGGUAAGUCAGAAAACGCGGUUUAAUCUAUUUGUCUAACCGGCAUUAUUAUUUACGGACUUGGGUGGAUCUAAAGUUCCGCACAAAAAAGAAAAUACCUGAACACAAAAAAGGGUUGCAAGGAUAAGGUAGCGGUUUAUACCAAUUUGAGUGUUUGACGGAGCUAGAAACAAAAUUAACCGGACACUUUUCUUAUCGAAGUCAGCGGCACCAAGCGGUAAAAUUUUUGGCUAUGCAGACGACAUCGACUACUGCUUUGUGGCAUUGGUUACAACACCAUCAGGACGUUCCAAGACCGUAGCAGUUAAGUGAAGAAAGUUUUCACCAUUUAUCGCCAGAAACACAUGUCCAACAACAGUAACAAAUAAACGUACAAACCUGCACCAUCACAACUAAACAAUACCAAUCAUAGUUAAUAGAUGAAACAAUUUUUUAGUUAUACAUUUUUAUUUUAAUAAAAAAUCAGUAAAUUUUACAAA